This 660-nucleotide ribosomal RNA is filed under the name Schistonchus hirtus. Its description in RNAcentral is "bacterial SSU rRNA". It matches the Rfam family "Eukaryotic small subunit ribosomal RNA", at positions 1001 to 1665 of the family's 1831-position model. The record is from RNAcentral. Lineage: Eukaryota; Metazoa; Nematoda; Chromadorea; Rhabditida; Aphelenchoididae.
UUUGCGAUCAGAUACCGCCCUAGUUCUGACCGUAAAUGAUGCCAACUGACAAUUCGUUUGUGAAUUCAAUUCAUAAGCGAGCGGUCUACCGGAAACGAAAGUUUUUCGGUUCCGGGGGAAGUAUGGUUGCAAAGCUGAAACUUAAAGGAAUUGACGGAAGGGCACCACCAGGAGUGGAGCUUGCGGCUUAAUUUGACUCAACACGGGAAACCUCACCCGGCCAGUACAUCGUGAGGAUUGACAGAUCGAUAGCUUUUUCAUGAUUCGGUGAAUGGUGGUGCAUGGCCGUUCUUAGUUCGUGGAUCGUUUUGUCUGGUUUAUUCCGAUAACGAGCGAGACGCCAACUGUUAAAUAGAGCAUAAAUAACAUAUUGCAUUUAUGUAAUAUGACAAUGUUUAUGUAAAUCUUCUUAAAGGGAUACGUGGUUUGAAACCGCAUGAAAUGGCGCAAUAACAGGUCUGUGAUGCCCUUAGAUGUUCGGGGCCGCACGCGUGCUACAAUGGUGGUAUCAGCGUGCUUGUCCUAUCUCGAUAGAGAAUGGAAAACAGUUGAGAUAUUAUUAUGGCUGGAAUUGAGUGUUGAAAUUUUCAUUCAUGAACGAGGAAUUCCAAGUAAAUGCUAGUCAUCAACUUGCAUUGAUUACGUCCCUGCCCUUUGUAA